CCUACGGGAGGCAGCAGUGAGGAAUAUUGGUCAAUGGACGAGAGUCUGAACCAGCCAAGUAGCGUGAAGGAUGACUGCCCUAUGGGUUGUAAACUUCUUUUAUAAAGGAAUAAAACGAGGCACGUGUGCCUUUUUGCAUGUACUUUAUGAAUAAGGAUCGGCUAACUCCGUGCCAGCAGCCGCGGUAAUACGGAGGAUCCGAGCGUUAUCCGGAUUUAUUGGGUUUAAAGGGAGCGUAGAUGGGUUGUUAAGUCAGUUGUGAAAGUUUGCGGCUCAACCGUAAAAUUGCAAUUGAUACUGGCAGUCUUGAGUACAGUUGAGGUAGGCGGAAUUCGUGGUGUAGCGGUGAAAUGCUUAGAUAUCACGAAGAACCCCGAUUGCGAAGGCAGCUCACUAAACUGUGACUGACAUUGAUGCUCGAAAGUGUGGGUAUCAAACAGGAUUAGAUACCCUAGUAGUC
RNAcentral lists this ribosomal RNA (460 nucleotides) under uncultured bacterium. RNAcentral's name for it is "partial 16S ribosomal RNA". It matches the Rfam family "Bacterial small subunit ribosomal RNA", at positions 338 to 795 of the family's 1533-position model. The record is from RNAcentral.